UUCCGGUUGAUCCUGCCGGACCUGACUGCUAUCGGAUUGAUACUAAGCCAUGCGAGUCAUUGUAGUAAUACAAGGCAGACGGCUCAGUAACGCGUAGUCAACCUAACCUAUGGACGGGAAUAACCUCGGGAAACUGAGUAUAAUGCCCGAUAGAACAUUAUGCCUGGAAUGGUUUAUGUUCCAAAUGAUUUAUCGCCGUAGGAUGGGACUGCGGCCUAUCAGUUUGUUGGUGAGGUAAUGGCCCACCAAGACUAUUACAGGUACGGGCUCUGAGAGGAGUAGCCCGGAGAUGGGUACUGAGACACGGACCCAGGCCCUAUGGGGCGCAGCAGGCGAGAAAACUUUGCAAUGUGCGAAAGCACGACAAGGUUAAUCCGAGUGGUUUCUGCUAAAGGAACCUUUUGUCGGUCCUAGAAACACCGAUGAAUAAGGGGUGGGCAAGUUCUGGUGUCAGCCGCCGCGGUAAAACCAGCACCUCAAGUGGUCAGGAUGAUUAUUGGGCCUAAAGCAUCCGUAGCCGGCUCUGUAAGUUUUCGGUUAAAUCUGUACGCUUAACGUACAGGCCGCCGGGAAUACUGCAGAGCUAGGGAGUGGGAGAGGUAGACGGUACUCGGUAGGAAGGGGUAAAAUCCUUUGAUCUAUUGAUGACCACCUGUGGC
Molecule: ribosomal RNA, 659 nt
Filed under: uncultured archaeon
Lineage: Archaea
Description: bacterial SSU rRNA
Rfam family: Archaeal small subunit ribosomal RNA
Source: RNAcentral